AUGCAGCCCGACUUUGCUCCCUUCCCGCCCACCUCCGUCUGCCGAUAUUCAAUCAGAGAGUCCUUGAGCAAUUCACAUUUUGAGAUACAACUGUCACUGACCUCCAUCGCUGGAGAGGCAGGCUUUUCAGAAAGGGACAGAAGACGAGUAGGUCUUCAGAAGAGGAGGAGGAGCAGGACAGUGUUCAUGAAUCUGAGGGUGAGUUGGAAUCUGAGGAGGAGAUUUUACAAGUAUCCACAUUUCAGGAGAGGUGAAAGGAAACAAGAGCAGAGAUGUCAUUCAGCUAGAAUAGCUGCCAGAAAUGCAGCUGAGUAAUUGGGAACUGCCUUAGCAGCUGUGAGGGGACUCAGGGCUAUGAAGCAGAAGCAGGUGCAGCCCGCUCUUGCUGGUAACAAACUGACUCUUUGCUCCUCUUGUGCCUGCUUCAAGUCUGCAUCUGGGAAACUGCUCCUAAGGAUUUAUUGCUGUUUCUUUGUCUGAACUAAGACUGCUAUUUGAUUUGGGAAUUUAACAGAGACUAAGAACUGUGUUUGCCCUAAGACUUCCUUGCCUUCUUUUGCAUUAUUCCACUGAGUGUGCUGUACUUCAUGUUUUGCUGAAGUAAAGCAGUUUUCAUUUACUUACCACGAUGUUUUAAGGCUGUUCUUGAAAGACAAAACAGGACAGUAGGGCAUAAUUCCUAUGAAGUUUCAGAAUGUUUUGCUCAUCCACUGAUUUUUAGCAAAUUUUUAAAGUUUUUACAAAUAAAAUUUCUUUUAAAAAUGGAUACUCAACCUAUAUACGCUUACGCUGAAUUCUUGGUAUCUUCUGGGGUUUCAUUUAAACACACACACCAGGGAUACCACAAAUCUUUACUAUUAUAUGCAGUGGUGUAGUAUCCCUUUCAUACAAGGGUAAAAUCAGGAUUUAAUUUUUGGAAAUGGAGAGAGGGGAUGUUUUCAACCUGUGUUUGAUUGAAUCUAUGUACAGUAGAUUCUCACUUAUCCAACACUUGCUUAUCCAACAUUCUGGAUUAUCCAACACACUUUUGUAGUCAAUGUUUUCAAUAUAUCGUGAUAUUUUGGGGUGCUAAAUUCAUAAAUACAGUAAUUACUACAUAGCAUUACUGCGUAUUGAACUACUUUUUCUGCCAAAUUUGUUGUAUAACAUGUUUUGGUGCUUAAUUUGUAAAAUCAUAACCUAAUUUGAUGUUUAAUAGGCUUUUCCUUAAUGCCUCCUUAUUAUCCAACAUAUUCGCUUAUCCAACAUUCUGCCGGCCCGUUUAUGUUGGAUAAGUGAGACUCUACUGUAUAUGGAAUCCAUGGAUAUAUGUAUGUGGUUGGCCUUGGAUAAUUCACACCCUCUCAGCCUUAGAACAAGACAAAUACAAAAACCUUACCAAGAAAACUCCAUGAACAAUCGUAUUCUCAUUUAUAUAUAAGCUUGUUCCUUAGGACCUGUCACUUUAUAUCUGUAUUUGAUUUUAAUUAUUCCUUCCUGUGGUGAUCUUCUUAAAUUGCCAUUUUUUUACAAUCCACAAUAUGGAGAGAGACGCUUUCUUGAGUUGAGUUUCUAUGAGUUAAUUUAAAAUUCUACACUGAGGAAGGCAGUCUUUCAUAUCAAAUAGAACUAUGAUGAGGGAUAGAAUACAUUGCGGACAUUUGGGAGAAAAAUAAAAAGAGAAGAUAUUGGCAAAAGCUGCAUGUGUUUCUGGAAUGUUUAUUUUUGCUCUGGUCAAUAAGUCAUGUCAGUUCAAUCCUUCUGGUUGAUCAAAAAUUUAUGACAGCAAACUACAGGGGUCAUUGAAAUGUGUGUGGUGUGUGCAGUGUAUGCCUUUCAUUAUCUUUCAGUCUCAGCUGUGACAAUUCUGUGAAAUAUCCAUAUUUACCUUUCUUUCUUUCUUUCUUUCUUUCUUUCUUUCUUUCUUUCUUUCUUUCUUUCUUUCUUUCUUUCUAUAUGAUGUGGAACCUGAUUGCAAUAAACAUGAGUGCUUCUACUCCUGAUUUGUGGGUUUGGAGCUUCUGUUCAUGCUUAUGUAACUUGUUCAGAGUCGACCAUGUCUCUCGCCCAGUUUCUAUUCUGCACCCAAUUAAAAUCUGGAUUGUGUUUAAUUUGUACACAGGAGAAAAUGCAUCCUGUGUUUAUGCCUUGCUGCUGGAGUUCUCCAACCUAUCUUAAAUGCAAACUAUGUUGAGAAGAAAGCCCUUCUGGGCAAAGGAGUAUUACCCAGAUAGUAAACAUGCACAAAACUGGGCUAGAAAGGUGAUCUUGGGACCUUCCUUGUGCUCCACUAAAAUGUUGUCUCAGUAGAAAAGGAUGUGUUUUUGUUUUUGCUUUGGAUAAAACUCAGUGUUCUACUGAAAAGUGUUAAUUUUCAUAUGCUGAAAAAAAAGGCUCAAUAGCAGGCCAAACUAAGGUCUAUGGGCCGGAUGCGGCCCUCCAAGGUCAUUUACCUGGCCCUUGUCCUAAACUUUAGACUUAGGGUUGACCUAAGUCUACCUGGUCUUUGGAGGUCUCUUUGCUUAUCUAUGGUCUUGUGAGCUUGUCUAGCUGGUCUUUGAAGGUCUCUUUGCUUACUUAUGGCCUUAUGAGACGAUCUAGAUGGCUUUUGGAGGUCACUUUCCUUACCUAUGGUCCUAUGAGACCAUCUAGAUGGCCUUUGGGGGGCCUUUCCUUACCUAUGGUUUUAUGAGAUUGUCUAGAUGGCCUUUGGCGGCCCCUUUCCUUACCUAUGGUCUUAUGAAACCAUCUAGAAUGUCUUUGAGGGUGCCUUUCCUUAUCUAUGGUCUUCUGGUGGCCUGAUGAGAUCAUCUAGAUGGCCUUUGAGGGUCCCUUUCCUUCCCUAUGGUCUUAUGAGAUUGUCUUGAUAGCCAUUGGAGGCCCCUUUCCUUACCUAUGGACUUAUGAAACCAUAUAGAUGGUCUUUGAGGGUGCCUUUCCUUAUCUAUGGUCUUCUGGUGGACUAAUGAGAUCAUUUAGAUGGCCUUUGAGGGUCCUUUUCCUUAACUAUGAUCUUCUGAUGGCCUGAUGAGAUCAUCUAGAUGGCCUUUGGGGGGCCCUUUCCUUACCUAUGGUCUUAUGAGAUUGUCUAUAUCAGAGGUCCCCAAACUAAGGCCCUCCAAGGUCAUCGACCUGGCCUUUGUCCUAAACUUUAGAACUAGGGGUUGACCUAAGUCUGAAACGACUUGAAGGCACACAACAACAACAAUCCUAAUUUUGGACUAUUUCAUCAUAGUCUGGCCCCCCAGCAGUCUGAGGGACUGUGAAUCGACCCUCCACUUAUGGGUGGCUUCCAUGGGUACAUCUUGGGUAUCAUAUAAUGAGGCUAGGAAAAAAACUUUUACUUAAGAAAUAUAAGGAAGGUCAGAAAAACAGCAACACGCUUUUGCACAGGAAGUUAAAGCUCAAACAACAGAGAGAAAAGAGAAAAAUCCCUCCCUUUGAAGACCAAAGCAAAUGCAGAAGCAUCUGUACACUUAACAGGGCACACCUUGUCAUAUUAAAAGACUCUCUUUCCAAAUGGUUUAUUGUUAUCUAUUGAUUGAGACAAAUGGAGUCCGAAAUGGGCUGAAGUGCAUCACUUGCCAUUAUAUACAAAGCCGCUUUGAACUAACGCAAUGUUUUUAGGAUUUUGUUUGUUAAUAUUCUAGAUGGAAACAUACACAUCUUUAUCUGCUAUAAUUAACGAUCAUUCAGUUGGGAUUAAAUGUAUGUACAGUUUUUAUUGAUGAGCAAAUAUUUUACUCU
RNAcentral lists this long non-coding RNA (3726 nucleotides) under Anolis carolinensis (green anole). RNAcentral describes it as "lncRNA (ENSACAG00000029855.2)". Lineage: Eukaryota; Metazoa; Chordata; Lepidosauria; Squamata; Anolidae. The record is from RNAcentral.